RNAcentral lists this microRNA precursor (178 nucleotides) under Arabidopsis suecica. Lineage: Eukaryota; Viridiplantae; Streptophyta; Magnoliopsida; Brassicales; Brassicaceae. The record is from RNAcentral.
AGUCAUGUUUAGUAGCCAAGGAUGACUUGCCUGAUCUUUUUCGCCUCCACGAUUCAAUUUCAAGUUCAUGGGUUUUGGAUUAUUAUGCAUAUAUCUAAAACGUAUAAUAAUUCGAAAAUCAUGUUGAAUCUUGCGGGUUAGGUUUCAGGCAGUCUCUUUGGCUAUCUUGACAUGCUUU